CUUUGCCAAUAUAGAGAAAAUAGUACUGAGUAAUAAAUAGUUAUAAGUUAUUAGCUUCCGACAUGACGCCACUGUUUACAAACACAGGCACCGGAAGUGAGACUGGCAAAAACAAGAUUACGGAAAGAGUGGCCAGAGAGAGAAGGAGAGAGUGAGAGAGAGAAAGAGAGAGAGUGACGUGCGCAUGUAUCAGUCGGACUAGUAGACAGCAAAAUCUCUACAAUUUAGCCAGACACCUUCACUGCUUUAUUGUGUUUUACAGUGUAUGUCUUAGGGGCAAAGAAGAACAUUUUUAAAGACCUAAAGACCUGCAGAAAGGUCGCUAUGAGUUUGUGAAAUUCAAAAUCUGAGCUCAGAAACCCUUCUUAACCUCCAGAGCUUCACCCUUCAGUGAUCAGAAAGCCUCCCUGUGACUCAGCUGUUCCCAGAAUUAGGCAACUCUAAAACAACACUACUAAGCAGAGGUGUGCUGAAAAACUGCCUCUCUUACAGUUUUGGGCAUGAAAGCAAGGACGUACCAACCUUUUAACUUUAGAAGGAAUUGAUAUAAAAUUUCUGGCUUUUUGACGCAAGUGAUUGUUUUUAAGAGACUGCCACAGGUAGAAAUCAGAUACGAGGGAGCUUCAGAAAUCCCUCAAGUGCUAAAACUCAGGAAUAUGAAGUAAGCAAAAAUACAAUUUUGGGAAAAAAACUAAGUCACUGCCAGAUUUUUUUAUUUAUAUUUAUCAGCAACCG
Molecule: long non-coding RNA, 735 nt
Organism: Rhinichthys klamathensis goyatoka
Lineage: Eukaryota; Metazoa; Chordata; Actinopteri; Cypriniformes; Leuciscidae
Exons: 3
Source: RefSeq, a predicted model, not a curated record